Molecule: ribosomal RNA, 454 nt
Filed under: uncultured Prevotella sp.
Lineage: Bacteria; Pseudomonadati; Bacteroidota; Bacteroidia; Bacteroidales; Prevotellaceae
Description: partial 16S ribosomal RNA
Rfam family: Bacterial small subunit ribosomal RNA
Source: RNAcentral
ACGGGAGGCAGCAGUGAGGAAUAUUGGUCAAUGGACGAGAGUCUGAACCAGCCAAGUAGCGUGCAGGAUGACGGCCCUAUGGGUUGUAAACUGCUUUUGUACGGGAAUAAAGUCAUCCACGUGUGGAUGUUUGCAUGUACCGUAAGAAUAAGGACCGGCUAAUUCCGUGCCAGCAGCCGCGGUAAUACGGAAGGUCCGGGCGUUAUCCGGACUUAUUGGGUUUAAAGGGAGCGUAGGCCGUGCUUUAAGCGUGUUGUGAAAUGUAGGCGCCCAACGUCUGCACUGCAGCGCGAACUGGAGCACUUGAGUACGCAGGAAGUAGGCGGAAUUCGUCGUGUAGCGGUGAAAUGCUUAGAUAUGACGAAGAACUCCGAUUGGGAAGGCAGCCUUCUGGGGCAUGAUUGACGCUGAGGCUCGAAAGUGCGGGAAUCAAACAGGAUUAGAUACCCUGGUA